AUUGAACGCUGGCGGCAGGCCUAACACAUGCAAGUCGAACGGUAACAGAAAGCAGCUUGCUGCUUUGCUGACGAGUGGCGGACGGGUGAGUAAUGUCUGGGAAACUGCCUGAUGGAGGGGGAUAACUACUGGAAACGGUAGCUAAUACCGCAUAACGUCGCAAGACCAAAGAGGGGGACCUUCGGGCCUCUUGCCAUCGGAUGUGCCCAGAUGGGAUUAGCUAGUAGGUGGGGUAACGGCUCACCUAGGCGACGAUCCCUAGCUGGUCUGAGAGGAUGACCAGCCACACUGGAACUGAGACACGGUCCAGACUCCUACGGGAGGCAGCAGUGGGGAAUAUUGCACAAUGGGCGCAAGCCUGAUGCAGCCAUGCCGCGUGUAUGAAGAAGGCCUUCGGGUUGUAAAGUACUUUCAGCGGGGAGGAAGGGAGUAAAGUUAAUACCUUUGCUCAUUGACGUUACCCGCAGAAGAAGCACCGGCUAACUCCGUGC
This 491-nucleotide ribosomal RNA is filed under the name uncultured bacterium. RNAcentral describes it as "bacterial SSU rRNA". It matches the Rfam family "Bacterial small subunit ribosomal RNA", at positions 30 to 508 of the family's 1533-position model. The record is from RNAcentral.